GGGGCCUACGGGAGGCAGCAGUAAGGAAUAUUGGGCAAUGGAGGAAACUCUGACCCAGCGACGCCGCGUGAGGGAUGAAGGCCUUCGGGUUGUAAACCUCUUUCAGUAGGGAAGAAGCGAAAGUGACGGUACCUACAGAAGAAGCACCGGCUAACUAUGUGCCAGCAGCCGCGGUAAUACGGAGGGUGCAAGCGUUAUCCGGAAUCAUUGGGUUUAAAGGGUCCGCAGGCGGAUUUAUAAGUCAGUGGUGAAAUCCUAUCGCUUAACGAUAGAACUGCCAUUGAUACUGUAAGUCUUGAAUUCGGUCGGAGUGGGCGGAAUGUGUAGUGUAGCGGUGAAAUGCAUAGAUAUUACACAGAACACCGAUAGCGAAGGCAGCUCACUAGGCCUGAAUUGACGCUCAGGGACGAAAGCGUGGGGAUCAACCAGGAUUAGAUACCCUGGUAGUCCACGCUGUAAACGAUGAUUACUCGUUUUCGGCGAUAUACAGUCGGAGACUAAGCGAAAGUGAUAAGUAAUCCACCUGGGGAGUACGAUCGCAAGGUUGAAACUCAAAGGAAUUGACGGGG
Molecule: ribosomal RNA, 569 nt
Filed under: uncultured Sphingobacteriales bacterium
Lineage: Bacteria; Pseudomonadati; Bacteroidota; Sphingobacteriia; Sphingobacteriales
Description: bacterial SSU rRNA
Rfam family: Bacterial small subunit ribosomal RNA
Source: RNAcentral